AUGUAGCAGGGUCUUUAAUCAAUCAAAUUAAAUGUCAUUUUUCCAAAUAAGCUCCAAGUAUGCACACAUAGGGGUUUUUUUUGUUGUACUUUUUCAUUUUUUUAAUGGCAUUUUCUCAUUUGGGAUGGAUUGCCCGUUUGGAAGCUGUUCUGCUUUACUUUUGUGGAUACCCCCAAAUCCAGCAGCAGCUGCUGCUCUUCCCACUGUGUAUGUAAAAGGGUUACAUUCAAAGUGUAUAUGAGGAUAGAACCACUGAACCCAAAAUUCUGUCUUUGGUCUCCUAUGGCUGUUUUCAGACAAAAACCAGCUCUGCUUUGUGGGGGCUCAGGUCCUCAUGACAGAACUGUGUUACAAUCUGAAAGCAGAUCUUUAUCUUUGACCUGAAAUAAUGGGCACAUCCCUCCUCAUUUUUAUGCAAUGCAGAGCAACAAUAGUUCCAAAAGUCACUUGCUUCCCAUGUUCUCUUUACCACAUCUAGAAAGCAGAGUGCUAGUGCAGCUGAAGUAGUCUGAAACAUGAUUCAAAGUUAGAACUAUAACUGAAAAAAUCCCUUAUUUAUGGCAAGUCACUACAAUUUCAUCGAAAUUGUAAAGAAGAAAAGAGUAAAGAAGAAACCACUGAAGCAUGCAAACCCCCUGAACAGAACUCUUUCCAACAUUAGAGAAGCCUAAUCAAUUUUUUAAUCGUUAUUAUUUCUGAAAGAGAUUUGAAAUAUUAAUGCAUGCCCCCUGGAAUUGAAGAAACAACUCUGUGAACAUGAGAAAGAAUAAAUAUACUGCCAAGAUAACAAAACAAUAGGGAGAACUGAAGAUACACUGAAAAAAAAGCUCAUUCUGAGAGAUUUUACACGAGUGAAAAAUUCACCUUGUGCCAGGGACAGCACUACAGAUAAAUUAUAACUCUUGUUUAGAAGGCCACAGUGCCAGGCCACUAAUCCUCAUUGCAGUCCAUUUCCCUGUGCUCUUUUUUCUGACUUUUUUGGUAUUUCUGAAGGCCAGCACCCAACUCUACAGAAGCUCUCCUUCCACUGGGCAUGGCCAACUUCUCCCUGCACCACAGAGAGUGAUCUGAGUGGGGAAAUUACCUCUCCUCCUUCAGUUCAUAGAAGAUUCAUCUAAGACUCUAUGACCUAGAUGGAUUGUCACACCAGUUGUGGCUCAUAUGGCACUGAUAAUGCUGAGACUUAAAGUAUCACUUUGGAAAUCCUGAGCUUUGGAGUGUCAUUUCCCCUGCAGCUACUGGGGCAGCAAUUACUGAACACAUGCACAGGACAUGCAGAAGAGGGAAGGGACAACACAGGCAGAGUUUAUCCUGCUUCUGGCAAGAGUCAUGCAGCUGAGCAACCUUUCUGGAAAUGAAAAACUUGAGUGAGGAUGUCAGCUCCCAGUUCAGAGGUGAAGCAUCACAGUCAUGAGGAAAGAUUACAAACAGAGAAGUGCAUCCUCCUUCCUUAGUCUGCUUCACCCUUAUUGAUCAUGCUUCAAGCCUGCAGGGGAAGGCAGUGUGGCCAGUGCUGAAUCACUCUCCAGUCUGUACAGGGAUAUUUCAUUCAAUUAUGAAUAAUCAUAGAAUAAAUUAUGCUGGCAUUUCUGGAGGCAAGAGGAGGAGAUGCAAAGAGAGCUGUGUGUCUGUAAGGACUACACACACCUGCAUGGCACAAACAGGAAACCAAUGAAGGCUCUUGUGAAAUGCUGGGGUGAGUUUGGGGAGAAAUGAUUCAACGGACAGUGAGUCAAUGAAACAACGUUGAGUGAAAAGCAACAGCCAGUACAAGGAUUUAUAAGACCUUGGAUGAACCUCUCUGCUCUGGCACUGUCCUGUUGGGUGACCUGAGGCCAACUACUUCCCUCCUGGUGUUUCAGUGCCUACAGCCAUGAAAAGGGGACAACAAUAGCUGCCAGCUGUGGAAAGAGCUUUGAACUGAAAAGAUAAAGAAUGUUACCUAAGAGACAGGAGCUAGAAAAAAAGGCUUUUCAACAUGAGCUGAUUAUGUAAAGGUGAAACUCUUAAAAGUUAACAAAGGUAAAAACAUGCCUCCCUCCCCCAUUGGUAGAAUUAUCAGAGAUACUGAUGGUAGGAAUUGCCAGCUAAUUUCGGUUCUGCUUAUAUUGGUUUUGCUAAGCUGAAACAAAAUUAAAUGGUUUUCUUGGGGUUGUGGCUAUUUCAGAAAAGGGGAUUCCAGGCCAUUUCUUAACUCUACCCCUCUUAAGAGCCCCAAUGAGCAUUCCUCUCAGGUAUCACAAGGUAUGCCUAUCACCCCAAUUAUCUAUCAGUCCAUUCACACUAAUAAAAAGGUAAGGUAGCAGAUUUUAUUACGCUAAAAAAGCCCUCAAAUUCAGGCCAGUUAGGUGUGAAUCAAAAUUUGUUCUUCUGCUGUUCGACAAGUGAAGUGAGGUGUGUUAACUUAUGCUUUGCAAUGAGUAGGUUCUGGGCAGUAACACGGAACCAACAGGGCCAUGAUCCCCUGAAACACAGGGAACAACAACAUAUCCCUGUGUCAGCACCUUAAUUGAGAGAGGCUGUUCUGAGUGGUUGCACAUAUAUAUUCAAUCUGCUACCGUU
This is a long non-coding RNA of Oenanthe melanoleuca, 2562 nucleotides long. RefSeq lists it as uncharacterized. The record is from RefSeq and is a predicted model, not a curated record. Lineage: Eukaryota; Metazoa; Chordata; Aves; Passeriformes; Muscicapidae. The transcript is spliced from 4 exons.